UUGACCUCGGAUCAGGUAGGGUUACCCGCUGAACUUAAGCAUAUCAAUAAGA
RNAcentral lists this ribosomal RNA (52 nucleotides) under Scedosporium boydii. RNAcentral's name for it is "partial 28S ribosomal RNA". Lineage: Eukaryota; Fungi; Ascomycota; Sordariomycetes; Microascales; Microascaceae. The record is from RNAcentral.